CCUGGCUCCACCCUUGUGAAGUGAAAUCUGCCAGGUGGGGAUCAUAUGACCAUUGCUAUAUAAGAAGCAUGAGGAGAGUUUGAGGUUCAGGUUAUUUAGGGUGCUUUUUCUCUUGUGGUGAAGCCUGUGUUCCCCAGUAAGCUGCUUUCUCUUCAUGUUUUCUACCAUCUCUGUGAAAUGGGUUUAAAGCCUCUAUGAGCUAGCUACGUUGGCAGUGCCUUCUCAGUACAGUAAAACCCUCAUGGUGCGACUUCACUGUGAAGCAGUUUGGCAGUGACUCAAGUUCAGAAGCUGGCAGCAGUCCUUAUGAACUUAGCUUAGGCAUCCUGAACACCUGGCAUAGAAACAACAGAAGUGCUAGUUCAGUGGACUUGGCUGCAUCAGGAUACUUUGAUUUCUUUUUGGCAGAAAAGGAAAGCAAGAACAUGUCACAUGAUGCCAUCACACAGCACACUAAUUAUCAUGCAUCCCUAGCAUGUGAAAUAGAAAAGAGAUGGUGAUUUCCUUCAGUGGAAGCAGCAUUCUUUCUCUGGAACCAUGACCUUGUAGCCAUCAGAAACUGUAACUUGAAUAUGUUUUGCAUGUGGCAAACCUAUGUAAAUGGCUCGGAACUAGUUGCUGAAUGCCUCUUAAGAUGUG
This 639-nucleotide long non-coding RNA is filed under the name Anas platyrhynchos platyrhynchos (common mallard). Its description in RNAcentral is "lncRNA (ENSAPLG00000022936.1)". The record is from RNAcentral. Lineage: Eukaryota; Metazoa; Chordata; Aves; Anseriformes; Anatidae.